UAUGUUUCAUUCCACAACGGCUUUAUUAUGUUUCUUUCUUCUUAUUUGAGUCCCCCACCAAAAGCUCCUUCAAGAAAAAAAAAAGAAACACAAAAGAAGAACAGCAAAACACACAGAGGAAAGGAAAAGAAAACCCUAAAAGCCAGAAAGCGAAAGAAGAAGAAGAAGUACAAGAGAGAAGCACACUGCGUUAUUAAUCUUUAUCUCGUAUUCUGAUUCAGACGCAUUGUUCAUCUUCCUUCGCCUGGUCGGAGGAAAGAGAGAUGGUGAGUGGGCAGAGGUGGACGACAAUGGCGGAGAAGCAGGAGGGACGUUUUCUCUAUAAAAGAAGACGAGAGUCUUGAGAGAUGAAACUCUGAUUUGUUCACUGUAAUCUCAGUUUGGUCUAUGGUGGUAUUGGCGGGACGGCUCAAUCUUCUUCUCUUUUUUCCCUUUUAAUUUCAUUUUGGAAUAUAAAUUUAUCAUGCUGACUAUGUUUUUUCCGGAUUUUAAUUUCACAAUAUUCCUUCGUUUCU
Molecule: long non-coding RNA, 515 nt
Organism: Tarenaya hassleriana
Lineage: Eukaryota; Viridiplantae; Streptophyta; Magnoliopsida; Brassicales; Cleomaceae
Exons: 2
Source: RefSeq, a predicted model, not a curated record